CCCUUAGAUGUUCUGGGCCGCACGCGCGCUACACUGAUGCAUUCAACGAGCCUAUCCUUGACCGACAGGUCCGGGUAAUCUUUGAAUCUGCAUCGUGACGGGGAUAGAUUAUUGCAAUUAUUAAUCUUCAACGAGGAAUGCCUAGUAGGCGCAAGUCAUCAGCUUGCGUCGAUUACGUCCCUGCCCUUUGUACCCACCGCCCGUCGCUCCUACCGAUUGGGUGUGCUGGUGAAAUGUUCGGAUCGGCCGUUUGUCGCGGUUUCCGCGUCAUGUGGCUGAGAAGUUCAUUAAACCCUCCCACCUAGAGGAAGGAGAAGUCGUAACA
This 325-nucleotide ribosomal RNA is filed under the name uncultured eukaryote. RNAcentral describes it as "partial 18S ribosomal RNA". It matches the Rfam family "Eukaryotic small subunit ribosomal RNA", at positions 1470 to 1796 of the family's 1831-position model. The record is from RNAcentral.